AGCAGCCGCGGUAAUUCCAGCUCCAAUAGCGUAUAUUAAAGUUGUUGCAGUUAAAAAGCUCGUAGUUGAAUUUCGGGGUUAGUAGGUUGGUCAUGCCUCUGGUAUGUACUGGUCUCACUGAUUCCUCCUUCCUGAUGAGCCGUAAUGCCAUUAAUUUGGUGUUGCGGGGAAUUUGGACUGUUACUUUGAAAAAAUUAGAGUGUUUAAAGCAAGCUAACGCUUGAAUACAUUAGCAUGGAAUAAUGAAAUAGGACGUUCGAUCCUAUUUUGUUGGUUUCUAGGAUUGACGUAAUGAUUAAUGGGGAUAGUUGGGGGCAUUAGUAUUCAAUUGUCAGAGGUGAAAUUCUUGGAUUUAUUGAAGACUAACUACUGCGAAAGCAUUUGCCAAGGAUGUUUUCAUUAAUCAAGAACGAAAGUUAGGGGAUCGAAGACGAUCAGAUACCGUCGUAGUCUUAACCAUAAACUAUGCCGACUAGGGAUCGGAUGAUGUUAAUUUUUUAAUGACUCA
RNAcentral lists this ribosomal RNA (508 nucleotides) under uncultured Glomus. Its description in RNAcentral is "SSU rRNA". It matches the Rfam family "Eukaryotic small subunit ribosomal RNA", at positions 569 to 1078 of the family's 1831-position model. The record is from RNAcentral. Lineage: Eukaryota; Fungi; Glomeromycota; Glomeromycetes; Glomerales; Glomeraceae.